RNAcentral lists this long non-coding RNA (508 nucleotides) under Phaseolus vulgaris (common bean). Its description in RNAcentral is "long non-coding RNA (PVUL_LNC003039)". The record is from RNAcentral. Lineage: Eukaryota; Viridiplantae; Streptophyta; Magnoliopsida; Fabales; Fabaceae.
GGUGGGCUUGACUAUUUGGGGAACCCAAACCUUGUCCAUGCCCAAAGCAUCUUGGCAGUGCUGGGCUUCCAAGUAGUUCUGAUGGGCCUUGUUGAAGGGUUCCGCAUCAAUGGGCUUGAUGGAGUAGGAGAGGGCAACAACCUUUACCCUGGGGGCCAGUACUUUGACCCACUGGGCCUGGCUGAUGACCCAGUAAAUUUUGCUGAGCUAAAAGUGAAGGAGAUAAAGAAUGGAAGGUUGGCCAUGUUCUCUAUGUUUGGGUUUUUUGUUCAAGCCAUUGUAACUGGCAAAGGCCCAUUGGAGAACCUGUUGGACCACCUUGACAACCCUGUGGCUAACAAUGCUUGGGUCUUUGCCACCAAGUUUGCCCCUGGAUCUUAAAUCUCCCUAUUAUCCACCCCUUAUCAUUAUUCUCAUUUAUAUGUAGAUUAUCAUCAUAAAUAAUAAUUGUUGGAUUAGUGUACUUUUUAAGGACUAAGCCUCUUUUUCCAAUGAGAAAGGUGUUUUU